UGCUACCAAAGCGUCCACUAUCACUUUUGGGAACCUCAGUUUGCAGGCCCUAGCAACCGUUUCUAUGGACGCCUUUUCAGCAGGCAUCCUGUUCUGAACUCUUUUGUUGGACCGGCUCUUCCCGGGGGCGUGGCAGGGCUGGAGUGAGAGCGCGAGCCAGUGAGCGCUGGAGGGCGAACGCGGCGCGCUGCAGUGACGGUCAGACGCCGGCCGGCCUUGGCGAAUCGCUGCCCAAGUAGAGGAGUCCGGCUGGCCCGGACUCAAGCAGCCGCCGCUCUCUUGGUUCGCAGGUCUGGUUGCAAGAACAAGAGCAGUGCUUGGCAGUCCCAACUCUUUCAAUCAUCAUGGUACUAUGCUGUCAACAAAUGUAGCCUUUCUGUGGUUUAGUUUCCUCAUCUGUGAAAUGGAGAUUAAACCAAAUAACACACGCAAAAUGUUUAGAGCAGUGUGUGACAUAUGGUCCAUGAAUGUUACAAUUGUAAAACUCCCAGAAUCUUGCAUUGGGAAAGGACCCCAAAAAUUGUCUAUUUCAUUUAGCCUGCCUUCAUCACACCAUCCUCUGUCUGAUGCCAGAGUUCUGGAACCCAAAAGAGCUAUCAGUGAUUGCUGGCUAAUUCAUUGUCACUGUUGAGGAAGCCAAAUGGCUGCUAAGGAGUCUGUCACUACCCCAAUAGAGAUGCACGGAGAAAGGAAAGAAAAUAGAAGGGAAAAAAGGAAUGUGACAUUUCAGUAUCCUAAUGCUUUCCAAGACUGAACUCUGGAUGGUUAACUGUGACCUUCUAUUGGGCAUGAGAGAUAAAUAGCUUGCCCUUGUGACCCUAGAGACCUAGGGUUCAAAGUGACUGCCAAGGUCAUUUAGUCAUCCAACAAAUACUUUGAACACAUACUACAUGCCAGGCACGUGAUAUAAACAAAGUAACAGUCACUGUCCUUCAGUGAAGAGCUUCCAGUCUAGUGAAGGAAAGAGCUUUUGUUCAGAAAUGUGCAAUUAUUUCAUUACUUGUCCAGAGUGCUGAGAUAAAGACUAAAGUAUUAGCCCGAAUGACUUUUAUGCCAUUUAAGGUGGUGGCCUGUAGAAGUUAGCUAGGUAAAGGGUAGGGAAUAGGGAAGGACCAACAAAUAUAAUUUGUGAAGACUCAAGGCUUCAGGGAGCAAAGUUGAAAAUACUUCAUGGACUGUUUAGCUUCACAUAAGACAAGUGUUCCUCAGGUCAGCUGUCUUGCAAGUGACUUCUUUUGUUCAUAAAAAUGCCAGACUGUAAAGAACCCAGCAUAGAUAUAUGAACCCUACUCAACCUGUUCAUGGACCCAGAGCACUAGUGUGUGACAGACAACACAUUGUCACAGUGGAAGGCAGGCUGAGAAGUUUGAUGUAACCUUCUGUCUUUAUAUUUGUUUCUUGGGUAGGGCAUUGGGAGGUCUCCAAUUUGGUGUUUGUCCAAACUUUAGGACUGGCCUCUCUGUUUCAACAUUUUUUAAUAAAUGGAUUUUGCCAAGUCAAGGGAAAGAACACUUACACUGAGACAAGUGCUCUCAAAAGGAAUGCAUUAAAUCCUUACAAUACAAUUAGGAGGUAAAUUGCAAAUGGGGAAACUGAGGCACAGAGCACUGAUGUAAUUUUCUCAAGGUCUCAGUGCUAGGAAGUAGGGGAGCUAGAAUUCCAACCCCGUUUGAUUCUUCUUAAAUCAAGCUGUUUCUGAAGUUCAACAUGCCCCUUCUUCGACAACCGUGAUGUUCCUACCAAGCAGCAGUCACCAGAAAGUCCUGCCUGUCAUUUCUUCAUCUCUGGGCCUAACUAUGUCUAGCUAGGGCUGCCAUCAUCACCCACAACACACUCGUGAUGGGCCAGCUGGUAGAGGCCUUGGCACCUAAAUUCUAACCAGCCAAAGGCCUUGACCCGGCACAGAAGUGUAAUGUGAAGGGGAAGCUGCUGGGAGAAGGGCUUGCAGGGGUCCCAUGAGAACCACUUGGAGCACAGCACGCCACUUUUCCUCAUGGUGUGAAGGGAAUGGUGUCCCAGAGGCCUGGGUCCGGCUCUUCUCUGGAGACAUAGCUAGCUUUCAGAAACCUUUCCCCUCCUUGAGAUCCUUGGUGUUUCCUACACCUGGCUCAUUUGGCUCUGAGCCCAGGCUGUGUGCAACAAUGAGAAUGAGAUACCAACUCUUGAAAAUUAGCACAGUUGUUUCUGGGGAGGUAUUUGUGCUUCUGUUAUGAAAGAGGGUAGAGGGUAUGAGAAAAAUAAGUACAAUGUCCAAUCUUUCUAUACCCCGUCUCUUCUCUAAAAUGAACUGGGCUUUACUCUGCAAAGCCACUUCUCCAGGACACACACAAAAAAAGUUUAGGGGGCCCAGAUCAAAGAUUAUAAAACUGGGCCCAAGCCUUUUUCCCCAUCAUUAUAUUCCUUACUGGAUGGGCCUCUAGUGGAAGGAGCAAUCAGCAUGGGGUUUUUCCCUAUGUCUAUUACUCAAAAAUGACUAGCAAACUUUCUGUUUAAUGUAUGUGUGAGGAGAAGUUUUAAGAUUAGAGACACCUAUUGCUAAUUAUGUUGAAUGAAGAAAAAUCAUUUUGUUUUGAAGGGCAAUCUGUGAAGAAAGUGCUAAGGAAGCCUUCACUUUGGCAAAAGGGGAUGGAGGUGGAAUGAGAUCUAGGGCCUAGAGAAUCCAGAGGCCCCUGAAGAACAAUUAGUUUAGCCUUUUGUCCCCCUUUCAGAUCCCCUGGCUUUCCCUCACCUAUUUAUGCUACUCCUGAAGGACAUUUUACAACUCUGCCAUGGCACCAUGAAUUGCAAUCACAACGAUAACUACAGCUGCAACGAUGGCCCCAUUAUUGAUGUGAUUCAGAUCCAUGGACCAGCAGCAUCAGCGUCACCUGGAGCUUGUUUUGUACUUGCUGCUGCCCAAGACCUUCCUCUCCCCCACCAGCUUCUCCCUCGCCAGACCCUCCAUGACCGGGACCAGUGUGCAACGGCUCCUCGGCAACAGCGAGGCCCCGGAAGGGAGUAGACCGACAGGUCAUACUUUCAGGGGCCCUAGAGCCCCCAACUAUGGGGAACAAUAAAAGUAGAAACACUAAUAGGUACUAAGUAUUGAGUGUUUAUGGGUUUUAGUUUUGAGACAGGGUCUUGCUAUAUAGUCUAGGCUGGCCUAGAACCCAGAAUCCUAUCUCAGUCAGCCAUGCCUAGCUCUUGAAAGUUUAUGUUUUAAACAAUUUUCAUACACAUUUUUUCCUCAAUGUAUGUUUUAUUAAACUUUUGUGCAUUUCAUGCAAUACAUCCAAUCACACCUAGACCUCCUCUCCCAUCCUCACCCCCCCCAUUACUCUCCCCACCAGAUUUCAUGCACUCUUCCAUACAUGUCAAAGCUUAUCAAGCCAAGCCUGUGUACCCAGAUGUCCCUCAGUG
Long non-coding RNA from Nannospalax galili (Upper Galilee mountains blind mole rat), 3399 nucleotides. RefSeq lists it as uncharacterized. The record is from RefSeq and is a predicted model, not a curated record. The transcript has 5 exons. Lineage: Eukaryota; Metazoa; Chordata; Mammalia; Rodentia; Spalacidae.